AUGAACGCUGGCGGCGUGCUUAACACAUGCAAGUCGAACGAUGAAGCCCAGCUUGCUGGGUGGAUUAGUGGCGAACGGGUGAGUAACACGUGAGCAACCUGCCCCUGACUCUGGGAUAAGCGCUGGAAACGGCGUCUAAUACUGGAUAUGUCCCGUCACCGCAUGGUGUGCGGGUGGAAAGAUUUUUCGGUUGGGGAUGGGCUCGCGGCCUAUCAGCUUGUUGGUGAGGUAAUGGCUCACCAAGGCGUCGACGGGUAGCCGGCCUGAGAGGGUGACCGGCCACACUGGGACUGAGACACGGCCCAGACUCCUACGGGAGGCAGCAGUGGGGAAUAUUGCACAAUGGGCGGAAGCCUGAUGCAGCAACGCCGCGUGAGGGAUGACGGCCUUCGGGUUGUAAACCUCUUUUAGCAGGGAAGAAGCGAAAGUGACGGUACCUGCAGAAAAAGCACCGGCUAACUACGUG
RNAcentral lists this ribosomal RNA (466 nucleotides) under uncultured bacterium. Its description in RNAcentral is "partial 16S ribosomal RNA". It matches the Rfam family "Bacterial small subunit ribosomal RNA", at positions 29 to 507 of the family's 1533-position model. The record is from RNAcentral.